RNAcentral lists this transfer RNA (74 nucleotides) under Actinoplanes siamensis. RNAcentral describes it as "tRNA-Ala". It matches the Rfam family "tRNA". From Rfam's summary of the family: Transfer RNA (tRNA) molecules are approximately 80 nucleotides in length. Their secondary structure includes four short double-helical elements and three loops (D, anti-codon, and T loops). The record is from RNAcentral. Lineage: Bacteria; Bacillati; Actinomycetota; Actinomycetes; Micromonosporales; Micromonosporaceae.
GGGGUCAUAGCUCAGGAGGUAGAGCAUCCCGCUCGCACCGGGAAGGUCCGGAGUUCGACUCUCCGUGGCUCCAC